Molecule: ribosomal RNA, 265 nt
Filed under: uncultured bacterium
Lineage: Bacteria
Description: partial 16S ribosomal RNA
Rfam family: Bacterial small subunit ribosomal RNA
Source: RNAcentral
AACGAACGCUGGCGGCAGGCUUAACACAUGCAAGUCGAACGGGUGUAGCAAUACAUCAGUGGCAGACGGGUGAGUAACACGUGGGAACCUUCCUAGGGGUACGGAACAACUCAGGGAAACUUGAGCUAAUACCGUAUACGUCCGUAAGGAGAAAGAUUCAUCGCCCCUAGACGGCCCGCGUCGGAUUAGGUAGUUGGUGGGGUAACGGCCUACCAAGACCUACGAUCCGUAGCUGAUCUGAGAGGAUGAUCAGCCACACUGGGAC